UGAUGAUUCUGAAUUCCCCUCUUUGGUUCC
RNAcentral lists this non-coding RNA (30 nucleotides) under Rattus norvegicus (Norway rat). Lineage: Eukaryota; Metazoa; Chordata; Mammalia; Rodentia; Muridae. The record is from RNAcentral.